GGCUUGGGCUAGGAUGCGGGCCUGUCGUACCAUCUCACCUGAGAGGACAGGACACAGUCAGGUCUUACUGGCUUUUUCCUGUCUGGGAUUUUCAGAGCUCUGCCCUGAUUCAUCAUGUGACCUCCCCUCUGACAGCUUUAGCCUCCUUCUCUACAAAAUGAGGACGUUAUAUUAGGUAAUUCCCAAGAGAUCCUGAAGCCUGCAAACACCGACUCCAGCUAGCUGGGCAGGGAGACGAAACACCGGCAGCUUGCACCGUCUAACUGGAGAGGGAGGGGCCUUCCCAGGGAGCCUGGCCCUGCCUCUGGGUUUCCUGGCAGUCAAACUAGAAUGAUGAUUCUCUAAUCCAAAUGGAUCUCAGAAAUUACCUAGUCAAAUUCUCAGUUUUGCAGAAUGGACAUCAGACAUGGUGGGGCAGGUUGGGUAGUUUCAAGGCAGAUCAGAGGAGGAGCUCAGUCUCUAACUUGGUCCUUGCUCCAAGUCACCAAGUGAAUACUCAGUCCUCACGACAACUGGUCUCAGGCUUUCCAGUCUUCGGUAAGCCCUUCUCAAGCUCUGCCCCCUAUCUUACUGCCUCCCUUGAUGGUGUUUUCAGGGCACCUCAAGAUAUCAGUCCCACCCUGACCUCCCCCACCCUCCUUGGCACCUCUCAGCAGGCUGGAGGAACCCUUGCAGGUGGCAGGUGGCACCCAGGGGGACAAGAAGACAAGUCUGCCUGCCAGCUGAUGAUGUGACCCAGUUUGGUACAGGGAUUGGUUCCUCUCAACUGAGAAUGAGCAAAUUCGCGCUGCUCAUUCCCCUCCUGGCAAGCAGCAAACCCCAAGUGGGGAAACAGACAACUGGGGUUAGGUUAGAAACAGGUAGGAGUGCUGGGAUACAGAAGCCAGAACCAGGGAAGUUGGGAAGGGAUAGGUUUUUGGACGGUGAAGAGAUUAGGAAGGAUGAGGUGGAGACUGAAAAAUCUAGAAACAGGAGACAGGUAUAUGUGGGAAAGGUGUGGAGCAGGGAUCUGAGAGACCAUUCUGACCUUAUAAACAGUCCAGAGUCUCACAAGAAACCACAGCUUGCUAUCUUUAUUUCCAAACAAGCGAGGACCCUUCCAGUCUCCCCAGCUCUCUGCCCACCUCCCCCAUUCCUCAGCUACCUCUCCCAGUAGCUUGACAGACCUGGCUGUGGGGCUGCUGGAGGGCUGGAGGGUCAGCGAAGUGGAGGAGUCGGAGGAGCUGAGGGCAGGACUGAAAGGACCCUCCACCCUAAGCUGAAAUGGCACGUCUCCCCCACUUCCUCCGGACAUAUGGACACCCCCUUCUUCAUCAAGCACGGAAACCUCUGGUGAGACCCCGAUAAGGGAGAUGAGUCAUGCCUACCCUUACUCCCAGGCUGGUCCUGAGUGGACACCCACAUAGCUACAAGAUGGUGAAGGAGGAAAAGGAAUUGAGAAGUGAGAGGGUGAUGAGGGCACAGAACAAGCCCCCUGGAAGUAUGGAGAGAAGCCAUCCAGUUCCUCCUCUGGCCUGAGAACUUUGCUCCCUUUUCCACCAUGUUUUAUGAAACAGCAACAAUGCCCCCCCCCCCAUCCCUCUCCCAGGGAACUCCUCCUCCCUCAAGACAUUCCUGAGAUGCAUUCCAGAGGAGUUGGGCAAUUGGGGGGGGGUGGAGGACAAGAGGUCAAAUCCUAGCAAGGAAUGGAAUGUAAGUAUACUGGGGGGGGUAAAGAAUUUGGGGCACAUGGAAAUAUAGUCAGAACAGAUACCCACAAAGGGAGCUGCAGAAAGACAGGGAGCUACAGAAAGGGACAAGGGAGAAAGAAACCUGAAGACAAAGUCAGAAUGUGUGAGGGUUGGGGGAGUAACCCUCAGUCUGUUACCAAAUUUGGCCUCUGAGUCCGCAACCGCGGGGCGGGGGGAGGGGGGGGUAAAGGGGGGUGGUGGUUGUGGGUGAGACUGACAUAUCCGGCCUCAGGCUGCUGGAGGCUCAUUUCGGGCUGGACUGGGCAGCUGACGGGCUGGACCUGAUCUCCCUCGACAUAGCCCCUCACCACCUACACCUAUCUAUACAUAUGCACUCUCUCCAACUGCACCCCUGUCUAUGCACAGAGCUCUUUACCACAAAGUUACUACGAAUACUGUCUCCACAUACACGUUAUCUCAAACAUGCAGUCCCUUACACAGACCCUAUCACAACCACAUUAUCUUCCCAUAAAGACCCUGUCCCACGCACACAGCUUCCCCACAAACACACCUCUGUCCGUAGGAGAACAACUUGCCCCAACAUCUCUCUUCCCAUUACACAUUCUCCCUCCAUUCAUCCAACAAGCAUUUCUGAGGGUCUGUUGUGAAAAAGGCCCUGGGCCAAACUCUCAGUGACUGGGAAGCAAGAAGAGCAAGCCCUUGCCUUCGCUUUCAAGGGGCUCCUGGUUAGUUGAGUGAGUAAGCCAAAUACAGAAUUAUAAUACAGGGCAGGAUGUGGUCAGAGUCAAGAUGUGUGUGUUCAGGGGAGAGAUCCCUUUAGGUUACAGAAAAGGGACCGAAAAGUCUCUGUUUUAAGUGUCAUUUGAAGUUAGGACUUUAAAAUAAAGAUAAUAAAAAUCGUAAGGAUUACCUUUUAUUGAUGAUAUGUCAAUCUCUUUGUAUACAUAAUUUCAUUUCAUCUUUACAAUAACCCGGCAAGAUAAGUAUCAUUAUACCCACUUUUACAGAUUAGGAAACUGAGGCGCAAAGAUAUUAAAUACUUGUUCAAGGAACUGCUCCAAAGUCAUACAGCUAAUAAGUUGUGAAGCCAGGAUCCGAACCCAUAUCUCUGACUCCAAAGCCCAAGCUGUCUCCACUAUGCCAGCCAGAGGUGAGUCAGGGGUAGCAUUCCAGGCAGAAAGAAGAGCAUAAGCAAAGGUGGAGGAACAGGAAAUCACGGAGGAGCAUUCAGGGAAGUGAGCGGGUGGGCUGGCGGAAGCACAGAGUACCUGCAAGGGAGCAGCGACGGGGAAGUCAGGUCAGGGUGAAAAGGCAGGGGAGGACUAGAGAGGAAGGAGUAUUUUACAUACUGGAGGGCACCAUGAGGCCAAGGGAGGCUUUGAGCAGAAAAGGGACAUAACCAGAACUAGAUUCUGGAAAAUAAUUCUGGCAGUUACCUUGGAGAUAGGUCAGAAAGACACUGCAUUAGCACAAAUGAGAAGUGAUGACAGUAGUUAGAAUGGUGGAGAGGAGGACGUUGUUCAUUUGUAGUUUGAAGAGGUAGAACUGUCAGGACCUGAUGACAGUUUGUCUUGUCAAUCUUCAGGGACCAGGGCCUAAAGUCAGACUGAAGUCCCACAGCUUCUGUCAUCAGUAGCCAUUCAGUGGCUAGGGUAGCUUGAGUUUACUAAGGAAUUGGGAAGGGGAGAACGCCAGGAUUGGGCCGAGCUGGGUAUAUGAAGAUGAGGCUCUGGGGCACAGGAGAUGGGGAUGGGGUUAGCACCAGUAGCGGCAGAAGGGAUGAGGUUAGUGACUGUAUCGAACUAGAAAUGGGGAAGAAGGCUGGGGAAGACGGUGGUAGGAAAAAUACAUCUAUGAUCAGUCACCGAAUCAGGCUAGGCGAAGGGAAAAAAUAAUUACAAGACAGGGAAUGACAGAGUGAGGUCAGAGGUCAGAUUAGGCUGCGGGAGAUUGAGAAGAGAUGGGGCUGUAGUCAAUGGCUAAAUAAGGCUAGGAUGGUGUUGGGGGGAGAGCGAGGGGAUGGUGGCAGUAUAUAAGCUGAGUUGGUGGGGGUGGGGUGGGUCUGGGGCACAACCAGCAGCUGGGUCACACUGAGUAGGGGAUAGUGCUGUGGUCAAUGGCAGGGUCAGGCUGGGAGUGAAAUGGGGGUGUGGUCAGUGGCCUGGCUGGGCGUGGGAUCAGCAAGACCCAGUUUCCUCUUUGGGUCUCAUUUCCUCUUUUCUGUUUGGGGAGUGGGGGAAGGGGAUCUACAACUGGACCAAGAAAUUAAGAAGGCUUAGAGCCAGGGGCUGGCACACAGCAGGGCCUGCAGGUACUUGACAGUUAUGUUAGGCUUUGGGUAGGGUAUUCAGCAGAUGACCAGGAGGUGCGGGUAAGUGGGGAAAGUGUGGAAGAGUGCUUUAAGAUGAUGUGAAUGCUCAGAUUUGGGAGGGCAAAAUAUGGUAGGAGGUGCAGUAUCAGGGACAGAAAGGGAGGCAGAACUGCAGCUGGGAACCACUGGCAAGAUGAACAAGUAUGGAAGAAGUUACAGGUGAGGGGAGAAAUCUGUAUGCAGGAUUGUGCUUGACGGAAGGGGUAUGCAGGGAGGAUGUGAACUGCAGGGCCAGGGAGGAGAGCUGGAGAGAGGACUUAAUCCAGAGAAUGAGGGAACUGGGAGGCAGUAGGGCUGAACUUUCAGAGGAUUCAGUCAUUUCUUUCUCCCAUGGCAACAAUGUUUUCAUGGUCAGCCUCCCCUUAAUCACAGUCCCUUCUCCCUAAAUAGUCCCCCACUUGUGACUAGGCCUUGUACAUCUCCUGGGUCCCAGGCCUAUUCCUACCUCCUAUCUUGUAAGUAACAUAGUCCAGAAACCACUGUCCCUAAACUGUGGUGACCACAGCAAGAGCACUGGAUUUAGACAGCAAAAUAAAGAAGCUGGAAUCCCAGAUACCUGCAAUUCUAGUGAAGCCCAGAACCCUAAUGUGAAAUUAGUUUACCAUAUCUCUGGGCUAGAGAACCACUGAAACUAUGUAGCAAUGAGACCUCCCCACAAAAGGAGUGCACCUACCUGCUACCAAUCUCUUAAAUUUUAUCUAUCAGAGGCCAACUACCCAGACUUCAACCAUAACCCCCUCCUAAAACUAACCCUAAUUCUUUUUUU
Long non-coding RNA from Mustela erminea (ermine), 4828 nucleotides. RefSeq lists it as uncharacterized. The record is from RefSeq and is a predicted model, not a curated record. NCBI's taxonomy places the organism in Eukaryota, Metazoa, Chordata, Mammalia, Carnivora, Mustelidae. The transcript has 2 exons.